GACGAACGCUGGCGGCGUGCUUAACACAUGCAAGUCGAACGGAAAGGCCUCAGCUUGCUGGGUACUUGAGUGGCGAAAGGGGGAGUAAAACGUGGGUGAACUGCCUUUCAACUUGGGGAAAGCUUGGGAAACCGGGGCUAAUUACGGAAUAGGAACGCCUUUAGUGUGGUGGUUGGAAAAGUUUUUCGGUGCAAGCUGAGGUCGUGGGCUAUUAGCUUGUUGGUGGGGGAAUGGCCGACCAAGGCGUCGACGGGUAGCCGGCCUGGGAGGGUGUACGGCCACAUUGGGACUGAGAUACGGCCCAGACUCCUACGGGAGGCAGCAGUGGGGAAUAUUGCACAAUGGGCGGAAGCCUGAUGCAGCGACGCCGCGUGGGGGAUGACGGCCUUCGGGUUGGAAACUCCUUUCGACAGGGACGAAGCUUUUUGUGACGGUACCUGUAUAAGAAGCACCGGCUAACUACGUG
RNAcentral lists this ribosomal RNA (466 nucleotides) under uncultured bacterium. RNAcentral describes it as "partial 16S ribosomal RNA". It matches the Rfam family "Bacterial small subunit ribosomal RNA", at positions 28 to 507 of the family's 1533-position model. The record is from RNAcentral.